ACACUCCUACGGGAGGCAGCAGUGGGGAAUAUUGGACAAUGGGCGCAAGCCUGAUCCAGCCAUGCCGCGUGAGUGAUGAAGGCCCUAGGGUUGUAAAGCUCUUUCACCGGUGAAGAUAAUGACGGUAACCGGAGAAGAAGCCCCGGCUAACUUCGUGCCAGCAGCCGCGGUAAUACGAAGGGGGCUAGCGUUGUUCGGAUUUACUGGGCGUAAAGCGCACGUAGGCGGACUAUUAAGUCAGGGGUGAAAUCCCGGGGCUCAACCCCGGAACUGCCUUUGAUACUGGUAGUCUUGAGUUCGAGAGAGGUGAGUGGAAUUCCGAGUGUAGAGGUGAAAUUCGUAGAUAUUCGGAGGAACACCAGUGGCGAAGGCGGCUCACUGGCUCGAUACUGACGCUGAGGUGCGAAAGCGUGGGGAGCAAACGGGAUUAGAUACCCGGGUAGUCCC
RNAcentral lists this ribosomal RNA (447 nucleotides) under uncultured organism. Its description in RNAcentral is "partial 16S ribosomal RNA". It matches the Rfam family "Bacterial small subunit ribosomal RNA", at positions 333 to 797 of the family's 1533-position model. The record is from RNAcentral.